AUACGGAGGAUCCGAGCGUUAUCCGGAUUUAUUGGGUUUAAAGGGUGCGCAGGCGGCCAUUUAAGUCAGCGGUUAAAUCGUGGGGCUCAACCCCAUUCUGCCGUUGAUACUGGGUGGCUUGAUUGCGGUCGAGGUUGGCGGAAUUCGUUGUGUAGCGGUGAAAUGCAUAGAUAUGACGAAGAACACCGAUUGCGUAGGCAGCUGGCCAGACCGCAAAUGACGCUCAUGCACGAAAGUGCGGGGAUCGAACAGGAUUAGAGACCCUGGUAGUCCGCACAGUAAACGAUGAAUACUUGUUUUCGGCGAUAUAAUGUCGGAGGCAAAGCGAAAGCGAUAAGUAUUCCACCUGGGGAGUACGCCGGCAACGGUGAAACUCAAAUGAAUUGACGGGG
Molecule: ribosomal RNA, 392 nt
Filed under: uncultured bacterium
Lineage: Bacteria
Description: partial 16S ribosomal RNA
Rfam family: Bacterial small subunit ribosomal RNA
Source: RNAcentral